This 312-nucleotide ribosomal RNA is filed under the name Triticum aestivum (bread wheat). RNAcentral's name for it is "partial small subunit ribosomal RNA". The record is from RNAcentral. Lineage: Eukaryota; Viridiplantae; Streptophyta; Magnoliopsida; Poales; Poaceae.
AUGAAGACCAGGGGGCCCACACCUUUCUCACGAGGGUGGGGGGCGCCCCCCUUAGGGCGCGCCCCCUACCUCGUGGGCCCCUUGGAUGCCCUCCGACGCCAACUCCAACUCUAUAUAUUUGCUUUCGGAGAGAAAAAAAAUAGAGAGAAGAAAUCAUCGCGUUUUACGAUAUGGAGCCGCCGCCAAGCCCUAAAACCUCUCGGGAGGGCUGAUCUGGAGUCCGUUCGGGGCUCCGGAGAGGGGGAUUCGUCGCCGUCGUCAUCAUCAACCAUCCUCCAUCACCAAUUUCAUGAUGCUCACCGCCGUGCGUGA